RNAcentral lists this ribosomal RNA (642 nucleotides) under uncultured Lachnospiraceae bacterium. Its description in RNAcentral is "bacterial SSU rRNA". It matches the Rfam family "Bacterial small subunit ribosomal RNA", at positions 67 to 710 of the family's 1533-position model. Lineage: Bacteria; Bacillati; Bacillota; Clostridia; Lachnospirales; Lachnospiraceae. The record is from RNAcentral.
CGGGAAAUAUUUCAUUGAGACUUCGGUGGAUUUGAUCUAUUUCUAGUGGCGGACGGGUGAGUAACGCGUGGGUAACCUGCCUUAUACAGGGGGAUAACAGUCAGAAAUGGCUGCUAAUACCGCAUAAGCGCACAGAGCUGCAUGGCUCAGUGUGAAAAACUCCGGUGGUAUAAGAUGGACCCGCGUUGGAUUAGCUAGUUGGUGGGGUAACGGCCCACCAAGGCGACGAUCCAUAGCCGGCCUGAGAGGGUGAACGGCCACAUUGGGACUGAGACACGGCCCAGACUCCUACGGGAGGCAGCAGUGGGGAAUAUUGCACAAUGGGGGAAACCCUGAUGCAGCGACGCCGCGUGAAGGAAGAAGUAUCUCGGUAUGUAAACUUCUAUCAGCAGGGAAGAUAGUGACGGUACCUGACUAAGAAGCCCCGGCUAACUACGUGCCAGCAGCCGCGGUAAUACGUAGGGGGCAAGCGUUAUCCGGAUUUACUGGGUGUAAAGGGAGCGUAGACGGUGUGGCAAGUCUGAUGUGAAAGGCAUGGGCUCAACCUGUGGACUGCAUUGGAAACUGUCAUACUUGAGUGCCGGAGGGGUAAGCGGAAUUCCUAGUGUAGCGGUGAAAUGCGUAGAUAUUAGGAGGAACACC